Molecule: long non-coding RNA, 229 nt
Filed under: Elaeis guineensis (African oil palm)
Lineage: Eukaryota; Viridiplantae; Streptophyta; Magnoliopsida; Arecales; Arecaceae
Description: long non-coding RNA (EGUI_LNC040256)
Source: RNAcentral
UCUUGAGAAGAAUCAAAGAUAUGUUCUUAAUUUGGAGAAGGAUCAAAGUUAAAAGUGGGAGGAUACACCAAUUCAGAUUUUAUGAUAGAAUGUCUACGUCAUGGGUGUGUUCCUAUUUGAUAUUUUAGAAGGAUUCCAAAUAAUCGAUCAAUGGAAGCUGAGUACACUGUAGAUAUAAAGGAUGCAUUCUUAUUCUAAUGUUAGUUACAGAAUUGAUUAUCAUGCCAUC